Molecule: ribosomal RNA, 776 nt
Filed under: uncultured Bacillota bacterium
Lineage: Bacteria; Bacillati; Bacillota
Description: bacterial SSU rRNA
Rfam family: Bacterial small subunit ribosomal RNA
Source: RNAcentral
CAGUCGAGCGAGAAAGGGGAGCGAUCCCUGAGUAAAGCGGCGCACGGGUGAGUAACACGUGGGGAAUCUACCUCUGGGUGGGGAAUAACUCUGGGAAACCGGAGAUAAUACCGCAUAAGCCUGGAAAGGGAAAGCCGAAAGGCGCCGGGAGAGGACCCCGCGGCCGAUUAGCUAGUUGGUGAGGUAACGGCUCACCAAGGCAAAGAUCGGUAGCCGGCCUGAGAGGGCACACGGCCACACUGGCACUGAAACACGGGCCAGACUCCUACGGGAGGCAGCAGUGGGGAAUCUUGCACAAUGGGGGAAACCCUGAUGCAGCGACNCCGCGUGAGCGAUGAAGCCCUUCGGGGCGUAAAGCUCUUUCGGCAGGAACGAUAAUGACGGUACCUGAAGAAGAAGCUGCGGCUAACUACGUGCCAGCAGCCGCGGUAAUACGUAGGCAGCAAGCGUUGUUCGGAGUUACUGGGCGUAAAGAGUGCGUAGGCGGUGUCGAAAGUUUGGCGUGAAAUCUCCCGGCUUAACUGGGAGGGUGCGCCGAAAACUGCGACGCUGGAGUGUGGGAAAGGCAAGCGGAAUUCCUGGUGUAGCGGUGAAAUGCGUAGAUAUCAGGAGGAACACCGGCGGUGUAGACGGCUUGCUAGACCAUAACUGACGCUGAGGCACGAAAGCGUGGGUAGCAAACAGGAUUAGAUACCCUGGUAGUCCACGCCCUAAACGAUGCAUACUUGGUGUGGGCAGUUCAUUCUGUCCGUGCCGGAGCUAACGCGUUAAGUAUG